AGUGAACGCUGGCGGUAGGCCUAACACAUGCAAGUCGAACGGCAGCACAGUAAGAGCUUGCUCUUACGGGUGGCGAGUGGCGGACGGGUGAGGAAUACAUCGGAAUCUACUUUUUCGUGGGGGAUAACGUAGGGAAACUUACGCUAAUACCGCAUACGACCUACGGGUGAAAGCAGGGGAUCUUCGGACCUUGCGCGAUUGAAUGAGCCGAUGUCGGAUUAGCUAGUUGGCGGGGUAAAGGCCCACCAAGGCGACGAUCCGUAGCUGGUCUGAGAGGAUGAGCAGCAACACGGGAACUGAGAGAAGGACCAGACUACGACGGGAGGCAGAAGUGGGGAAUAUUGGACAAUGGGCGCAAGCCUGAUGCAGCAAUGCCGCGGGUAUGAAGAAGGCCUUCGGGUUGUAAAGUACUUUCAGCGGGGAGGAAGAGAGUAAAGUUAAUACCUUUACACAUUGACGUGACCCGAAGAAGAAGCACCGGCUAACUCCGUG
This 492-nucleotide ribosomal RNA is filed under the name uncultured bacterium. RNAcentral describes it as "partial 16S ribosomal RNA". It matches the Rfam family "Bacterial small subunit ribosomal RNA", at positions 29 to 507 of the family's 1533-position model. The record is from RNAcentral.